Molecule: ribosomal RNA, 229 nt
Filed under: uncultured bacterium
Lineage: Bacteria
Description: partial 16S ribosomal RNA
Rfam family: Bacterial small subunit ribosomal RNA
Source: RNAcentral
UACGAGUGGUGCAAGCGUUACCCGGAAUUACUGGGCGUAAAGCGUCUGUAGGUGGUGUAUCAAGUCUGAUGUUAAAUCCCACAGCCCAACUGUGGAUUAGCGUUAGAAACUGGUACGCUAGAGGUUGGAAGAGGCCAGUGGAAUUCGGUGUGUAGGGGUAAAAUCCGUAGAUACACCGAGGAACACCCAAAGCGAAGGCAUCUGGCUAGUCCAAUCCUGACACUCAAAG